This 831-nucleotide ribosomal RNA is filed under the name uncultured organism. Its description in RNAcentral is "bacterial SSU rRNA". It matches the Rfam family "Bacterial small subunit ribosomal RNA", at positions 39 to 842 of the family's 1533-position model. The record is from RNAcentral.
GCGGCGUGCUUACACAUGCAAGUCGAACGAGAAAUCUUUAGCUUGCUAGAGAAAGUAAAGUGGCGCACGGGUGAGUAACGCGUGGGUAAUCUGCUUCCGAAUCGGGGAUAACAUUGCGAAAGCGAUGCUAAUACCGGAUAAAAUCUGGUUGGCUUCGGUGAACCGGAUCAAAGGUGGUCUCUUUAUAAAAGCUACCGUUUGGAGAUGAGCUCGCGUACCAUUAGCUAGUUGGUGAGGUAAAGGCUCACCAAGGCGACGAUGGUUAGCUGGUCUGAGAGGAUGAUCAGCCACACCGGAACUGGAACACGGUCCGGACUCCUACGGGAGGCAGCAGUGAGGAAUUUUGCGCAAUGGGGGAAACCCUGACGCAGCAACGCCGCGUGAGUGAUGAAGGCUUUCGGGUCGUAAAGCUCUGUCAGGUGGGAAGAACCCACCAAGUGUUAAGACCACUUGGUGCUGACGGUACCACCGAAGGAAGCACCGGCUAACUCCGUGCCAGCAGCCGCGGUAAUACGGGGGGUGCGAGCGUUAUUCGGAAUCAUUGGGCGUAAAGGGCGCGCAGGCGGUUUUGUAAGUCAGAUGUGAAAUCCCGGGGCUUAACCCCGGAAGUGCAUAUGAAACUAUGAGACUUGAGUAUGGGAGAGGGAAGCGGAAUUCCUGGUGUAGCGGUGAAAUGCGUAGAUAUCAGGAGGAACACCGGUGGCGAAGGCGGCUUCCUGGACCAAUACUGACGCUGAGGCGCGAAGGCGUGGGGAGCGAACAGGAUUAGAUACCCUGGUAGUCCACGCAGUAAACGUUGAUCACUAGGUGUAGCGGGUAUUGACCCCUGCU